This 964-nucleotide ribosomal RNA is filed under the name Salmonella enterica subsp. enterica serovar Newport. Its description in RNAcentral is "partial 23S ribosomal RNA". It matches the Rfam family "Bacterial large subunit ribosomal RNA", at positions 600 to 1566 of the family's 2925-position model. The record is from RNAcentral. Lineage: Bacteria; Pseudomonadati; Pseudomonadota; Gammaproteobacteria; Enterobacterales; Enterobacteriaceae.
CGUACCUUUUGUAUAAUGGGUCAGCGACUUAUAUUCUGUAGCAAGGUUAACCGAAUAGGGGAGCCGGAGGGAAACCGAGUCUUAAUUGGGCGUUAAGUUGCAGGGUAUAGACCCGAAACCCGGUGAUCUAGCCAUGGGCAGGUUGAAGGUUGGGUAACACUAACUGGAGGACCGAACCGACUAAUGUUGAAAAAUUAGCGGAUGACCUGUGGCUGGGGGUGAAAGGCCAAUCAAACCGGGAGAUAGCUGGUUCUCCCCGAAAGCUAUUUAGGUAGCGCCUCGUGAAUUCAUCUCCGGGGGUAGAGCACUGUUUCGGCUAGGGGGCCAUCCCGGCUUACCAACCCGAUGCAAACUGCGAAUACCGGAGAAUGUUAUCACGGGAGACACACGGCGGGUGCUAACGUCCGUCGUGAAGAGGGAAACAACCCAGACCGCCAGCUAAGGUCCCAAAGUCAUAGUUAAGUGGGAAACGAUGUGGGAAGGCCCAGACAGCCAGGAUGUUGGCUUAGAAGCAGCCAUCAUUUAAAGAAAGCGUAAUAGCUCACUGGUCGAGUCGGCCUGCGCGGAAGAUGUAACGGGGCUAAACUAUGCACCGAAGCUGCGGCAGCGACACUAUGUGUUGUUGGGUAGGGGAGCGUUCUGUAAGCCUGUGAAGGUGUGUCGUGAGGCAUGCUGGAGGUAUCAGAAGUGCGAAUGCUGACAUAAGUAACGAUAAAGCGGGUGAAAAGCCCGCUCGCCGGAAGACCAAGGGUUCCUGUCCAACGUUAAUCGGGGCAGGGUGAGUCGACCCCUAAGGCGAGGCCGAAAGGCGUAGUCGAUGGGAAACGGGUUAAUAUUCCCGUACUUGGUGUUACUGCGAAGGGGGGACGGAGAAGGCUAUGUUGGCCGGGCGACGGUUGUCCCGGUUUAAGCGUGUAGGUGUGUGUUCCAGGUAAAUCCGGUUCACUUUAACACUGAGGCGUGA